AGUGAACGCUGGCGGCAUGCCUAACACAUGCAAGUCGAACGGCAGCACGGGUGCUUGCAGCUGUUGGCGAGUGGCGGACGGGUGCGUAAUACAUCUGAACCGGUCCCGUAUUUGUGGUGAGCGCGGCGAAAGCCGGAUUUAUACCGCUUACGAACUACACCUACAAGUGAGGGACGUUGAGGCUUCGACCUUUGGGGUUGGCAGAUGGCUGAUUAGCUAGUUGGUGUGGUAAAGGCCUACCAAGGCGACGAUCAGUAGCUGGUCUGAGAGGGUGACCAGCCACACUGGGACUGAGACACGGCCCAGACUCCUACGGGAGGCAGCAGUGGGGAAUUUUGGACAAUGGGCGCAAGCCUGAUCCAGCAAUGCCGCGUGGGUGAAGAAGGCCUUCGGGUUGUAAAGCACUUUUGUUGGGAAAGAAAUCCUUCAGCCUAAUACGGUCCUGUUAUGACGGUACCGGAAGAAUAAGCACCGGCUAACUACGUG
RNAcentral lists this ribosomal RNA (486 nucleotides) under uncultured bacterium. RNAcentral's name for it is "partial 16S ribosomal RNA". It matches the Rfam family "Bacterial small subunit ribosomal RNA", at positions 29 to 507 of the family's 1533-position model. The record is from RNAcentral.